UGGCGGACGGGUGAGUAACGCGUGGAUAACCUGCCGUAUACCGGGGGAUAACACUUAGAAAUAGGUGCUAAUACCGCAUAAGCGCACGGCUCCGCAUGGGGCAGUGUGAAAAACUCCGGUGGUAUACGAUGGAUCCGCGUCUGAUUAGCUAGUUGGCGGGGUAACGGCCCACCAAGGCAGCGAUCAGUAGCCGGCCUGAGAGGGCGGACGGCCACACUGGGACUGAGACACGGCCCAGACUCCUACGGAAGGCAGCAG
RNAcentral lists this ribosomal RNA (258 nucleotides) under uncultured bacterium. RNAcentral describes it as "partial 16S ribosomal RNA". It matches the Rfam family "Bacterial small subunit ribosomal RNA", at positions 96 to 354 of the family's 1533-position model. The record is from RNAcentral.